AACGAACGCUGGCGGCAUGCCUAACACAUGCAAGUCGAACGAGAUCUUCGGGUCUAGUGGCGCACGGUGCGUAACGCGUGGGAAUCUGCCCUUUGGUUCGGAAUAACAGUUGGAAACGACUGCUAAUACCGGAUGAUGACGAAAGUCCAAAGAUUUAUCGCCAGAGGAUGAGCCCGCGUAGGAUUAGCUAGUUGGUGUGGUAAAGGCGCACCAAGGCGACGAUCCUUAGCUGGUCUGAGAGGAUGAUCAGCCACACUGGGACUGAGACACGGCCCAGACUCCUACGGGAGGCAGCAGUGGGGAAUAUUGGACAAUGGGCGAAAGCCUGAUCCAGCAAUGCCGCGUGAGUGAUGAAGGCCUUGGGGUUGUAAAGCUCUUUUACCCGGGAUGAUAAUGACAGUACCGGGAGAAUAAGCUCCGGCUAACUCCGUGCCAGCAGCCGCCGUAA
RNAcentral lists this ribosomal RNA (448 nucleotides) under uncultured bacterium. RNAcentral's name for it is "partial 16S ribosomal RNA". It matches the Rfam family "Bacterial small subunit ribosomal RNA", at positions 29 to 523 of the family's 1533-position model. The record is from RNAcentral.